RNAcentral lists this ribosomal RNA (473 nucleotides) under Gerrhosaurus nigrolineatus (black-lined plated lizard). RNAcentral describes it as "partial 16S small subunit ribosomal RNA". It matches the Rfam family "Bacterial large subunit ribosomal RNA", at positions 1926 to 2610 of the family's 2925-position model. The record is from RNAcentral. Lineage: Eukaryota; Metazoa; Chordata; Lepidosauria; Squamata; Gerrhosauridae.
AACGGCCGCGGUAUCCCAACCGUGCAAAGGUNGCGCAAUCACUUGUCCUCUAAAUAAGGACUAGUAUGAACGGUUUAAUGAGGACGAAACUGUCUCCUGCAGAAAAUCCGUAAAACUGAACUCCCAGUUCAAAUGCUGGGAUAACAAUAUAAGACGAGAAGACCCCGCGGAGCUUUCAAACAAACUACAGCUUCUGACCCUGUAGAAAAGUUUUUAGUUGGGGCAACUCUGGAGACAAAAAAAACCCCCAGACACGGGAACACGCAUCCCAAAAAUGGCUAACAAGCCUACACCCGACCCGGUCCCACCGACAAACGAACCAAGUUACCCCAGGGAUAACAGCGCCAUCUUCUUUUAGAGUCCAUAUCGACAAGAAGGUUUACGACCUCGAUGUUGGAUCAGGACACCCAAAUGGUGCAGCCGCUAUUAAAGGUUCGUUUGUUCAACGAUUAACAGUCCUACGUGAUCUGAGU